CGGAGGGUGCAAGCGUUAUCCGGAAUCACUGGGUUUAAAGGGUACGUAGGCGGUAAUGUAAGUCAGACGUUAAAGACUACGGCUAAACCGUGGUACGCGUUUGAAACUGCGUAACUUGAAUAUAUUCGAGGUGCAUGGAAUGCUUCAUGUAGCGGUGAAAUGCAUAGAUAUGAAGUAGAACACCAAAAGCGAAGGCAGUGCACUAGGAUAUUAUUGACGCUGAGGUACGAAAGCGUGGGUAGCGAACAGGAUUAGAUACCCUGGUAGUCCACGCCCUAAACGAUGCUAACUGGUCAUUUGGCGCAAUAGUCAAGAGACUGAGGGAAACCAUUAAGUUAGCCACCUGGGGAGUACGUUCGCAAGAAUG
This 367-nucleotide ribosomal RNA is filed under the name uncultured organism. RNAcentral's name for it is "bacterial SSU rRNA". It matches the Rfam family "Bacterial small subunit ribosomal RNA", at positions 526 to 896 of the family's 1533-position model. The record is from RNAcentral.